UACGUAGGGUGCAAGCGUUAAUCGGAAUUACUGGGCGUAAAGCGUGCGCCGGCGGUUAUGCAAGACAGAGGUGAAAUCCCCGGGCUCAACCUGGGAACUGCCUUUGUGACUGCAUAGCUAGAGUACGGUAGAGGGGGAUGGAAUUCCGCGUGUAGCAGUGAAAUGCGUAGAUAUGCGGAGGAACACCGAUGGCGAAGGCAAUCCCCUGGACCUGUACUGACGCUCAUGCACGAAAGCGUGGGGAGCAAACAGG
Molecule: ribosomal RNA, 253 nt
Filed under: uncultured bacterium
Lineage: Bacteria
Description: partial 16S ribosomal RNA
Rfam family: Bacterial small subunit ribosomal RNA
Source: RNAcentral